CCAAUAGCGUAUAUUAAAGUUGUUGCAGUUAAAAAGCUCGUAGUUGAAUUUCGGGGUUAGUAGGUUGGUCAUGCCUCUGGUAUGUACUGGUCUCACUGAUUCCUCCUUCCUGAUGAACCGUAAUGCCAUUAAUUUGGUGUUGCGGGGAAUUUGGACUGUUACUUUGAAAAAAUUAGAGUGUUUAAAGCAAGCUAACGCUUGAAUACAUUAGCAUGGAAUAAUGAAAUAGGACGUUCGAUCCUAUUUUGUUGGUUUCUAGGAUUGACGUAAUGAUUAAUAGGGAUAGUUGGGGGCAUUAGUAUUCAAUUGUCAGAGGUGAAAUUCUUGGAUUUAUUGAAGACUAACUACUGCGAAAGCAUUUGCCAAGGAUGUUUUCAUUAAUCAAGAACGAAAGUUAGGGGAUCGAAGACGAUCAGAUACUGUCGUAGUCUUAACCAUAAACUAUGCCGACUAGGGAUCGGAUGAUGUUGAUUUUUUAAUGACUCAUUCGGCACCUUACG
RNAcentral lists this ribosomal RNA (500 nucleotides) under uncultured Glomeromycotina. RNAcentral's name for it is "partial small subunit ribosomal RNA". It matches the Rfam family "Eukaryotic small subunit ribosomal RNA", at positions 591 to 1092 of the family's 1831-position model. The record is from RNAcentral. Lineage: Eukaryota; Fungi; Glomeromycota.